Molecule: long non-coding RNA, 447 nt
Filed under: Rattus norvegicus (Norway rat)
Lineage: Eukaryota; Metazoa; Chordata; Mammalia; Rodentia; Muridae
Description: long non-coding RNA NONRATT001290
Source: RNAcentral
UGUUGAUUUUCUGAAGUCUUUGCUCACACACAUGAUCCAUGUCUGAAUGAUACUACAUGACUCGGGACUUGCUGGGAGACAAGCAAUGUUUGGUGGUCAGGCCAGGUCUCAAAUGAAGCAGUUACUAUCAAUGUCGGGGAAAGUCUGGCUGCUAAACAGCUCUCAAUGCUCAGAUCAGACCCGUCCUCAAUGCUGGCCACUGGCAUUGUGUAAACAGGAGGCUGCGGCUUUACAGAACACCACAGACAACGAGGACCUCAGAAGACCACUUGAGGAGGAAAGCAUGGGAAGAGAUCUGCAAGACCAGACCCAGGCAGGACUGGGUCACAUGGACUCCCACGCGCCUUUGAGCAGCUCACAUCACAGAGCAGAGGCCAUAACUAAAAAUACAAGGAAGGUAUUGUUUCUCUUCCUGGGUCUCCUUACUACAAUCAACCUUCUUCACUC